AUGGAGCAGACGGCCUCCUCCAACGUAGACGCGAAGGCGGUGCUGCUCGUGCUAAUCGUUAUUUACCUCGUGCUUAGGCUCAGGCCCAAGAGGCACAAUAUCCUAUGCGGUGGUGGUGCUGGCGCUGGAGCUGGUGCGUGCUCGUCGGCCGCCACGCCACUCCCGCUUCCGCCAGGCCCCGUGCCGUGGCCGGUGGUCGGCAACCUUCCUGAGAUGAUGCUCAACAAGCCUGCGUUCCGGUGGAUCCACCACAUGAUGAAAGAAAUGGGCACCGAUAUCGCCUGCGUCCACCUCGGCAGCGUCCACGUCGUCUCCAUCACCUGCCCCAAGAUCGCCCGCGAGGUGCUCAAGAAGCAGGACGCCAACUUCGCCUCCCGCCCACUCACCUUCGCCUCCGCCACCUUCAGCGGCGGCUACCGGAACGCCGUGCUCUCCCCCUUCGGCGACCAGUGGAAGAAGAUGCGCCGCGUGCUCACCUCCGAAAUCGUCUGCCCGUCGCGCCACAGGUGGCUGCACGACCGCCGCGCCGACGAGGCCGACAACCUCACCCGCUACGUCCACAACCUCAUCACCAAGGGGUCAUUGUCGUCGUCGUCGUCAGGCGGCGCCACGGUGGACGUCAGGCAUGUUUCUAGGCACUACUGUGGCAACGUCAUCCGCCGGCUCCUCUUCGGCAGCCGGUACUUUGGCGAGCCCCGGCUGCACGACGACGGCGGGCCGGGGCCGUUGGAGGUGGAGCACAUGGACGCCAUGUUCACCUCCCUUGGGCUCCUCUACGCGUUCUGCGUCUCCGACUACCUCCCCUGGCUGCGCGGCCUCGACCUCGACGGACACGAGAAGAUGGUCAAGGAGGCCAACGCCACCAUCAACCGGCUGCACGACACGGUCAUCGACGAGCGCUGGAGGCGGUGGAAGUCCGGCGAGAGGAAAGACAUCGACGAUUUCUUGGACGUGCUCAUCACGCUCAAGGACUCUGACGGCAACCCGCUGCUCACCCUCGAGGAGGUCAAAGCGCAGUCCCAGGACAUAACAUUUGCGGCGGUGGACAACCCAUCGAAUGCCAUCGAGUGGGCCUUGGCAGAGAUGGCGAAUGCGCCAGAGGUGAUGGCAAAGGCAGUGGAAGAGAUGGACCGUGUGGUGGGUCGGGAGCGGCUGGUGCAGGAGUCUGACAUCCCACAGCUCAUCUACGCCAAGGCAUGUGUCCGUGAGGCAUUCCGGUUGCACCCCGUGGCACCCUUCAACGUGCCACAUGUUGCGCUCUCUGACACCACUGUCGCUGGCUACCGCGUGCCCAAGGGAAGCCAUGUUAUCCUCAGCCGCAUAGGGCUCGGUCGAAACCCUGCGGUUUGGGAUGAGCCGCUCCGCUUCAAGCCAGAGCGUCACAUCAAUAUGGCCGCUGGCAUUGAUGGUGGUGUGGCACUCACUGAGAAUGAGCUGAGGUUCAUCUCCUUUAGCACCGGCCGUCGCGGGUGUGUAGCUGCAUCGCUUGGGACGGCUAUGUGCAUAAUGCUCUUCAGCAGGCUCAUACAUGGGUUCACUUGGAGCAAGCCAACGGGCGUGGCAGCAAUCGAUCUCAGUGAGGCGAAGCACGACGUCUUUCUAGCCAAGUCGCUGGUGCUACAUGCUGAGUUGCGCCUGCCAGCAAACCUCUACCGUGCCACCACCAUCUAA
This 1671-nucleotide ribosomal RNA is filed under the name Triticum aestivum (bread wheat). RNAcentral's name for it is "partial small subunit ribosomal RNA". Lineage: Eukaryota; Viridiplantae; Streptophyta; Magnoliopsida; Poales; Poaceae. The record is from RNAcentral.